CGCAUGAACAACGCUUAAAAGAUGGCUUCUCGCUAUCACUUCUGGAUGGACCUGCGGUGCAUUAGCUUGUUGGUGGGGUAACGGCCUACCAAGGCGAUGAUGCAUAGCCGAGUUGAGAGACUGAUCGGCCACAAUGGGACUGAGACACGGCCCAUACUCCUACGGGAGGCAGCAGUAGGGAAUCUUCCACAAUGGGCGCAAGCCUGAUGGAGCAACACCGCGUGAGUGAAGAAGGGUUUCGGCUCGUAAAGCUCUGUUGUUAAAGAAGAACACGUAUGAGAGUAACUGUUCAUACGUUGACGGUAUUUAACCAGAAAGUCACGGCUAACUACGUGCCAGCAGCCGCGGUAAUACGUAGGUGGCAAGCGUUAUCCGGAUUUAUUGGGCGUAAAGAGAGUGCAGGCGGUUUUCUAAGUCUGAUGUGAAAGCCUUCGGCUUAACCGGAGAAGUGCAUCGGAAACUGGAUAACUUGAGUGCAGAAGAGGGUAGUGGAACUCCAUGUGUAGCGGUGGAAUGCGUAGAUAUAUGGAAGAACACCAGUGGCGAAGGCGGCUACCUGGUCUGCAACUGACGCUGAGACUCGAAAGCAUGGGUAGCGAACAGGAUUAGAUACCCUGGUAGUCCAUGCCGUAAACGAUGAGUGCUAGGUGUUGGAGGGUUUCCGCCCUUCAGUGCCGGAGCUAACGCAUUAAGCACUCCGCCUGGGGAGUACGACCGCAAGGUUGAAACUCAAAGGAAUUGACGGGGGCCCGCACAAGCGGUGGAGCAUGUGGUUUAAUUCGAAGCUACGCGAAGAACCUUACCAGGUCUUGACAUCUUGCGCCAACCCUAGAGAUAGGGCGUUUCCUUCGGGAACGCAAUGACAGGU
Molecule: ribosomal RNA, 868 nt
Filed under: Limosilactobacillus fermentum
Lineage: Bacteria; Bacillati; Bacillota; Bacilli; Lactobacillales; Lactobacillaceae
Description: bacterial SSU rRNA
Rfam family: Bacterial small subunit ribosomal RNA
Source: RNAcentral